This 83-nucleotide small RNA is filed under the name Flavobacterium sp. ov086. Its description in RNAcentral is "Flavo-1 RNA". It matches the Rfam family "Flavo-1 RNA". Lineage: Bacteria; Pseudomonadati; Bacteroidota; Flavobacteriia; Flavobacteriales; Flavobacteriaceae. The record is from RNAcentral.
UUUUAGCCCCGAUGGAAGCGAUAUCCUUUUUUGAGUCGAUUUUUUUCGCCUCAAAAAAGAUAAAGCUGAGAGCGGGAUUAGCU